GGGGAUGUAUUGCUUUGACGUGAUACGUACUUUAACAUUUGCAGACCAUCUUUGACUAAGAAAGAUGUAAAACAGAGUCAAAAACAUAAUUGCAAAUAAAACUGCAAAAAGCAUUAUAUUGGAUACCGCAAAAGAAGUUGCUAACGCUGCUUCCAAUGCAUUCAAUUUUGCUCCUUCUUACGCUCUCGCAGCAUAAUUAGGCAUUCAAUUAAAUAAUUUCAUUGGCGUUUUUAAUUUGAAUGAUUCAACCUUAGUCAGUGUGACGGCAAAUACUCGUUUGUUGGUAUUUGUUUAAGUAAAAGUUGACAAAGAUUGUGAAAAAAAGGUUUGUUUAUUCCCCUCUUUCACAAUACAAAGAUAAACUAUGUCUGUAGAUAAUGUUAGCUUGCUAUUGCGGACACGAGGUCAUUCCUCGUCAUCUCCACCA
RNAcentral lists this transfer-messenger RNA (427 nucleotides) under Patescibacteria group. RNAcentral describes it as "VFLK01 sp002783105 Standard tmRNA". It matches the Rfam family "transfer-messenger RNA". Rfam says of the family: Bacterial tmRNA, also known as 10Sa RNA or SsrA, is named for its dual tRNA and mRNA-like properties. Its role is to liberate the mRNA from a stalled ribosome. RNAcentral also lists the same sequence under 6 other names. The record is from RNAcentral.